AAAACGGUCAAAUUGCGGGAUAUUGAACAAAAUAUUUUUCAAAGUUUGGUAUUAUACUAAAUCUGUAAAAAUAAUUUUACAUAAGUUUUCGCUAAAAAUAAAUGACAGCUUCAGGGAAUUUGAUUCACACAUCUACUGAUCUACAGACCUAUACUUCCUUGCAAUCCUCUCCGGCUCUUCAGUUUUGUGAGCCUUUCGCUGGCCAUUUUCUCUCACAGAUCUACAAAUCUAUCCUUUCGCUAUUUCUAGUUGACCCUUCGCUGGAAGAGCUUUUCGCUGGCCAUUUUCUCUCACGGGUUUUUUGAAUUCUUGCUUUUCGCCGGCGAUUUCUCCGGCAACCCCUGCUCUUUUCUUCCUAUUCUCUCUUCUGCUUUGUGGGUGUGUAUGGGUGUGUGUGGGUGUGUUCUGUUUUCUUGGACACGUACCUUAUUUUUCCGGCAAGCUACAAUACUUUCGGCGACUCCCGUUCAUGUUUUCAGCAGGGCGCAGCAGAACUACACGUUCUGAUAAGCUUCAGAAAAACUUGCCCCAGGUACUAGUCACGGCGAAGAGGCCAGUUCGCGACGUUUGGGAGUGAAGAGCUAAGCAACACCGACCCGGGACGUGCAAGAAUUGGUAGCAGUUGACCUUGGGCGCAUCAAAGCCUACUUUCAGGUUUUUCCACCGGGAGUUGGUACCUCCCGCUCUCUUGUUUACUUUGAACACCUUUUUGCGUAUUCCAGCUGACAUUCCGUGUGAGGCUUACUCUGUUGCUAUCUAAUUUGCAUCUUUUUGCAUAUUCCGCUGUAGUUCUCCAUAGUCGGUUAGAGGGAUAGUGGCCGCAGCAGGGGAUAAUAGUGUAAGGUCAU
This 848-nucleotide long non-coding RNA is filed under the name Nicotiana benthamiana. RNAcentral describes it as "long non-coding RNA (NBEN_LNC040118)". Lineage: Eukaryota; Viridiplantae; Streptophyta; Magnoliopsida; Solanales; Solanaceae. The record is from RNAcentral.